CUAAGUCUGAUGUGAAAGCCUUCGGCUUAACCGAAGAAGUGCAUCGGAAACUGGAUGACUUGAGUGCAGAAGAGGGCAGUGGAACUCCAUGUGUAGCGGUGGAAUGCGUAGAUAUAUGGAAGAACACCAGUGGCGAAGGCGGCUGCCUGGUCUGUAACUGACGCUGAGGCUCGAAAGCAUGGGUAGCGAACAGGAUUAGAUACCCUGGUAGUCCAUGCCGUAAACGAUGAGUGCUAGGUGUUGGAGGGUUUCCGCCCUUCAGUGCCGCAGCUAACGCAUUAAGCACUCCGCCUGGGGAGUACGACCGCAAGGUUGAAACUCAAAGGAAUUGACGGGGGCCCGCACAAGCGGUGGAGCAUGUGGUUUAAUUCGAAGCUACGCGAAGAACCUUACCAGGUCUUGACAUCUUGCGCCAACCCUAGAGAUAGGGCGUUCCCUUCGGGGACGCAAUGACAGGUGGUGCAUGGUCGUCGUCAGC
Molecule: ribosomal RNA, 478 nt
Filed under: Lactobacillus sp. R-17818
Lineage: Bacteria; Bacillati; Bacillota; Bacilli; Lactobacillales; Lactobacillaceae
Description: bacterial SSU rRNA
Rfam family: Bacterial small subunit ribosomal RNA
Source: RNAcentral